GGUUAAGCGACUAAGCGUACACGGUGGAUGCCCUGGCAGUCAGAGGCGAUGAAGGACGUGCUAAUCUGCGAAAAGCGUCGGUAAGGUGAUAUGAACCGUUACAGCCGGCGAUGUCCGAAUGGGGAAACCCAGUGCAAUUCGUUGCACUAUCGUUAACUGAAUACAUAGGUUAACGAGGCGAACCGGGGGAACUGAAACAUCUAAGUACCCCGAGGAAAAGAAAUCAACCGAGAUUCCCCCAGUAGCGGCGAGCGAACGGGGAGCAGCCCAGAGUCUGAAUCAGCUUGUGUGUUAGUGGAACGGUCUGGAAAGUCCGACGGUACAGGGUGAUAGUCCCGUACACCAAAAUGCACAGGUUGUGAACUCGAAGAGUAGGGCGGGACACGUGGUAUCCUGUCUGAAUAUGGGGGGACCAUCCUCCAAGGCUAAAUACUCCUGACUGACCGAUAGUGAACCAGUACCGUGAGGGAAAGGCGAAAAGAACCCCGGCGAGGGGAGUGAAAAAGAACCUGAAACCGUGUACGUACAAGCAGUGGGAGCCUCUUUAUGGGGUGACUGCGUACCUUUUGUAUAAUGGGUCAGCGACUUAUAUUCUGUAGCAAGGUUAACCGUAUAGGGGAGCCGCAGGGAAACCGAGUCUUAACUGGGCGUUAAGUUGCAGGGUAUAGACCCGAAACCCGGUGAUCUAGCCAUGGGCAGGUUGAAGGUUGGGUAACACUAACUGGAGGACCGAACCGACUAAUGUUGAAAAAUUAGCGGAUGACUUGUGGCUGGGGGUGAAAGGCCAAUCAAACCGGGAGAUAGCUGGUUCUCCCCGAAAGCUAUUUAGGUAGCGCCUCGUGAACUCAUCUUCGGGGGUAGAGCACUGUUUCGGCUAGGGGGUCAUCCCGACUUACCAACCCGAUGCAAACUACGAAUACCGAAGAAUGUUAUCACGGGAGACACACGGCGGGUGCUAACGUCCGUCGUGAAGAGGGAAACAACCCAGACCGCCAGCUAAGGUCCCAAAGUCAUGGUUAAGUGGGAAACGAUGUGGGAAGGCACAGACAGCCAGGAUGUUGGCUUAGAAGCAGCCAUCAUUUAAAGAAAGCGUAAUAGCUCACUGGUCGAGUCGGCCUGCGCGGAAGAUGUAACGGGGCUAAACCAUGCACCGAAGCUGCGGCAGCGACACUAUGUGUUGUUGGGUAGGGGAGCGUUCUGUAAGCCUGCGAAGGUGACCUGUGAGGGUUGCUGGAGGUAUCAGAAGUGCGAAUGCUGACAUAAGUAACGAUAAAGCGGGUGAAAAGCCCGCUCGCCGGAAGACCAAGGGUUCCUGUCCAACGUUAAUCGGGGCAGGGUGAGUCGACCCCUAAGGCGAGGCCGAAAGGCGUAGUCGAUGGGAAACAGGUUAAUAUUCCUGUACUUGGUGUUACUGCGAAGGGGGGACGGAGAAGGCUAUGUUAGCCGGGCGACGGUUGUCCCGGUUUAAGCAUGUAGGCGGAGGUUCCAGGUAAAUCCGGUACCUUUUAACGCUGAGGUGUGAUGACGAGGCACUACGGUGCUGAAGUAACAAAUGCCCUGCUUCCAGGAAAAGCCUCUAAGCAUCAGGUAACAUUAAAUCGUACCCCAAACCGACACAGGUGGUCAGGUAGAGAAUACCAAGGCGCUUGAGAGAACUCGGGUGAAGGAACUAGGCAAAAUGGUGCCGUAACUUCGGGAGAAGGCACGCUGAUAUGUAGGUGAAGUCCCUGCGGAUGGAGCUGAAAUCAGUCGAAGAUACCAGCUGGCUGCAACUGUUUAUUAAAAACACAGCACUGUGCAAACACGAAAGUGGACGUAUACGGUGUGACGCCUGCCCGGUGCCGGAAGGUUAAUUGAUGGGGUUAUCCGUAAGGAGAAGCUCUUGAUCGAAGCCCCGGUAAACGGCGGCCGUAACUAUAACGGUCCUAAGGUAGCGAAAUUCCUUGUCGGGUAAGUUCCGACCUGCACGAAUGGCGUAAUGAUGGCCAGGCUGUCUCCACCCGAGACUCAGUGAAAUUGAACUCGCUGUGAAGAUGCAGUGUACCCGCGGCAAGACGGAAAGACCCCGUGAACCUUUACUAUAGCUUGACACUGAACAUUGAGCCUUGAUGUGUAGGAUAGGUGGGAGGCUUUGAAGCGUGGACGCCAGUCUGCGUGGAGCCAACCUUGAAAUACCACCCUUUAAUGUUUGAUGUUCUAACGUAGACCCCUAAUCGGGGUUGCGGACAGUGUCUGGUGGGUAGUUUGACUGGGGCGGUCUCCUCCCAAAGAGUAACGGAGGAGCACGAAGGUUAGCUAAUCCUGGUCGGACAUCAGGAGGUUAGUGCAAUGGCAUAAGCUAGCUUGACUGCGAGCGUGACGGCGCGAGCAGGUGCGAAAGCAGGUCAUAGUGAUCCGGUGGUUCUGAAUGGAAGGGCCAUCGCUCAACGGAUAAAAGGUACUCCGGGGAUAACAGGCUGAUACCGCCCAAGAGUUCAUAUCGACGGCGGUGUUUGGCACCUCGAUGUCGGCUCAUCACAUCCUGGGGCUGAAGUAGGUCCCAAGGGUAUGGCUGUUCGCCAUUUAAAGUGGUACGCGAGCUGGGUUUAGAACGUCGUGAGACAGUUCGGUCCCUAUCUGCCGUGGGCGCUGGAGAAUUGAGGGGGGCUGCUCCUAGUACGAGAGGACCGGAGUGGACGCAUCACUGGUGUUCGGGUUGUCAUGCCAAUGGCAUUGCCCGGUAGCUAAAUGCGGAAGAGAUAAGUGCUGAAAGCAUCUAAGCACGAAACUUGCCCCGAGAUGAGUUCUCCCUGAGACUAUAAGUCUCCUGAAGGAACGUUGAAGACGACGACGUUGAUAGGCCGGGUGUGUAAGCGCAGCGAUGCGUUGAGCUAACCGGUACUAAUGAACCGUGAGGCUUAACCUU
RNAcentral lists this ribosomal RNA (2905 nucleotides) under Klebsiella variicola subsp. tropica. RNAcentral's name for it is "23S ribosomal RNA". It matches the Rfam family "Bacterial large subunit ribosomal RNA". The record is from RNAcentral. Lineage: Bacteria; Pseudomonadati; Pseudomonadota; Gammaproteobacteria; Enterobacterales; Enterobacteriaceae.